This 459-nucleotide ribosomal RNA is filed under the name uncultured bacterium. RNAcentral's name for it is "partial 16S ribosomal RNA". It matches the Rfam family "Bacterial small subunit ribosomal RNA", at positions 338 to 795 of the family's 1533-position model. The record is from RNAcentral.
CCUACGGGAGGCAGCAGUGAGGAAUAUUGGUCAAUGGUCGGGAGACUGAACCAGCCAAGCCGCGUGAGGGAUGACGGUACAGAGUAUCGUAAACCUCUUUUGUCAGGGAACAAAGGCGGGGACGUGUCCCCGGAUGAGUGUACCUGAAGAAAAAGCAUCGGCUAACUCCGUGCCAGCAGCCGCGGUAAUACGGAGGAUGCGAGCGUUAUCCGGAUUUAUUGGGUUUAAAGGGUGCGCAGGCGGUCUGUUAAGUCAGCGGUCAAAGCCCGGGGCUCAACCCCGGCCCGCCGUUGAAACUGGCAGUCGCGAGUUGGAGAGAAGUAUGCGGAAGGCGCGGUGUAGCGGUGAAAUGCAUAGAUAUCGCGCAGAACUCCGAUUGCGAAGGCAGCAUGCCGGCUCCACACUGACGCUGAGGCACGAAAGCGUGGGUAUCGAACAGGAUUAGAUACCCUUGUAGUC